Long non-coding RNA from Falco peregrinus (peregrine falcon), 2079 nucleotides. RefSeq lists it as uncharacterized. Lineage: Eukaryota; Metazoa; Chordata; Aves; Falconiformes; Falconidae. The transcript has 3 exons. The record is from RefSeq and is a predicted model, not a curated record.
GGGGGCGCGGGGCGACCCCCGGGGGAAGGGGGCGGCCGCCGGGAACCCCCCGCACCCGCCGCCUGGCCGGAGGAGCUAGCGGCGUGACCCCCCCGGGGCGUCGGAAUAAACCGUGUCCUUGCAGAAAAAAGAGCCUGUCUCCAACAGCUCCAGGCGGGGGGGGCGGGGGGCUGCCCCGGGGACCCUGCACCCAGAAUAGUGCCCUGACCCCCAGGGGUGGCAGGAGCGGUUGCUCGGGGACAGUGCCCGGGGCUGAGGGGGCACCUCCGCCGUCACUUUCCGUGUUAACGAGGUUUUCUCUAUUGCCAGGAUUACAGGAAUGGAGCGCUCUCCGCAAUUUAUUUUAAUGAUAAUCGCUAAAUAGCACGGCGUUAGGGAGCACCGGAGCAAUCUGGAGGGGAAGGAGGCGGAGGGGAAGGUGCCGGAGUUGGGUCGUUCCCCACGAUUUGGGUCUGCGAGGUCCAUCGGAAGAAGGGGCCGUGGCACAGCCGAGCUGCACAGGGUGCUGAGCCCCAGCUUAGCUCCCUGCCUUCUGCCCGGUGGGGGCAGGGACCUGGCAGCACAUUUAUCACAGGGCUGUCAUCGCUUUUGAGGAAACGGGCCCAGAGCGCUUCGGAUGUUGUCCUGAAGCCACCCAGUAAGACAGGCAUGGUGUGGCCUUUUGCACUUGGACAGCGUGCUGCUUCACAGUGCAGGCAAUGCUGCAAACAGAAACCCACAGGGAGCUGGACUCAGGGUGAUUUUCGCCCAGAGGUAAACGAUACCUUGAAUUUUCAUUUAUUAAAUUGCAGUCCGUCUUGCUUACAUUGUUUCACAGGCAGAUGUUUACCCUGCUGAAAAGCUAAAAUGUUUUCUCUACUUGCAACAUAAAAGCCCAGGAGUGAGUGUUGUCACUGGAGAUAAUGUUACAGCCUUAGCAAGAUGACACUUAAAAACUUUGUCAGCCUCCAAGAAUUUUGGAAAUAGCAAUGAACGAAGGUAGCAAAUGUUAAUAGCAAGCACUGCUUGCAAGAAGUGCCGUCACAAGCAGCGUUUUCAAGAGCUUCUUUCUGUUUCCAGUUGUCUGAGCUGCACGGCUCAGACCAUUUUUAAAUAAUUAUACUUAACAGUUAGAAAAACCUCCUGCACUAAAAUAAAUUUUAGCUAAGAUGGUUUUAUGCUUUGCGGUCUCAUAUGACACUCAAUCUUUCUCGUGUGACUGUUGUAACAAGUCAAAUUCAUGUAUUUUGAUACCCCGCAUGUGAUAAAGAUACUUGGAUCACUUAAGCCUGUACAAAACUGCAGUGCUCGCAUGUCAUUUAUCUUAAAAUCCUAUUGUAGCUCUCGUGAAAUGCAAUUUCUUCAGCAAAUGGAAAUUUAUACUGACAGGUGUUAUAAAACAUGGAAAAUACUGGGGGAAGGGGGCCCAACAUUUCCUUUAUCUCUUCAGAUAUUCACUAAUGGAUUUAUUUUGCAGCUCGGCCUCGGUUUGUUGCAGGUUACGGAGCUCUGGUGCAAUUAAGGGGACCCAUUUCCAGCCUUCUUAAGCAGAACUUGCAUUACUUGCAACAGGUGAGGAACGUGCACUGCGGCCCCAAGACAGCAAGCUGGUUUGCAGGCUGCAGUUUCCCUACCGGUCCCUAAAGCUGCUUGUAGGAAAUCACUCAGCCUAAAGGAACUCCUGGGAUCCCAGCCUCUACCUUCCCGUUUCAAAACGCAUGGGUAUUUUCUUCACUGAGAUUCACGCUACUUGUUACUGUGGCCGCUGGCUUUGUCUUACGCCCUUGAGUGCUACUAUGCUUUUUAGUGAUGAGAAACCAGCAUUCAAACUCCCCUGAAGCACCAAGCUGUGCUGCUCCUCCCGCAGCUUGCAGAGGGACUUCCCUGAACCUCAGGUACAAAUGCUCCAGCUGUUGGAAAAGCCAGUGGCCAGGAGUGGAACAGCACAAUAUUUAUGUAAGUGGACUACAGGACCAAACUUUAGACAUUGAUUUUAAUGACCUGUUUUCAAGCUCUCUCCCUCAAUUUCCCUGUAAUAUACAAAUACAGCAUUGGUGAUGCUUAGCUAAUAAAAAAAAUAAAUAUCUCUCUAACUUCCAA